AUUGAACGCUGGCGGAAUGCUUUACACAUGCAAGUCGAACGGCAGCACGGGUGCUUGCACCUGGUGGCGAGUGGCGAACGGGUGAGUAAUGCACCGGAACGUAUCCAAUAAUGGGGGAUAACGCACCGAAAGGUGUGCUAAUACCGCAUACGCCCUGAGGGGGAAAGCGGGGGAUCGUAAGACCUCGCGUUAAUGGAGCGGCCGAUGCCGGAUUAGCUAGUUGGUGAGGUAAAGGCUCACCAAGGCGACGAUCCGUAGCUGGUCUGAGAGGACGACCAGCCACACUGGAACUGAGACACGGUCCAGACUCCUACGGGAGGCAGCAGUGGGGAAUUUUGGACAAUGGGCGCAAGCCUGAUCCAGCCAUGCCGCGUGAGUGAAGAAGGCCU
RNAcentral lists this ribosomal RNA (389 nucleotides) under uncultured bacterium. RNAcentral describes it as "bacterial SSU rRNA". It matches the Rfam family "Bacterial small subunit ribosomal RNA", at positions 29 to 417 of the family's 1533-position model. The record is from RNAcentral.